GAUGAACGCUGGCGGCGUGCCUAAUACAUGCAAGUCGAGCGAAUGGAUUAAGAGCUUGCUCUUAUGAAGUUAGCGGCGGACGGGUGAGUAACACGUGGGUAACCUGCCCAUAAGACUGGGAUAACUCCGGGAAACCGGGGCUAAUACCGGAUAAUAUUUUGAACUGCACGGUUCAAAAUUGAAAGGCGGCUUCGGCUGUCACUUAUGGAUGGACCCGCGUCGCAUUAGCUAGUUGGUGAGGUAACGGCUAACCAAGGCAACGAUGCGUAGCCGACCUGAGAGGGUGAUCGGCCACACUGGGACUGAGACACGGCCCAGACUCCUACGGGAGGCAGCAGUAGGGAAUCUUCCGCAAUGGACGAAAGUCUGACGGAGCAACGCCGCGUAAGUGAUGAAGGCUUUCGGGUCGUAAAACUCUGUUGUUAGGGAAGAACAAGUGCUAGUUGAAUAAGCUGACACCUUGACGGUACCUAACCAGAAAGCCACGGCUAACUACGUGCCAGCCGCCGCGGUAA
This 515-nucleotide ribosomal RNA is filed under the name uncultured bacterium. RNAcentral's name for it is "partial 16S ribosomal RNA". It matches the Rfam family "Bacterial small subunit ribosomal RNA", at positions 28 to 523 of the family's 1533-position model. The record is from RNAcentral.